Molecule: non-coding RNA, 25 nt
Filed under: Ophiophagus hannah (king cobra)
Lineage: Eukaryota; Metazoa; Chordata; Lepidosauria; Squamata; Elapidae
Also listed under: 2 other names
Gene: oha-miR-29b-2-5p
Source: miRBase by way of RNAcentral
CUGGUUUCACAUGGUGGCUUAGAUU